GACGAACGCUGGCGGCGUGCUUAACACAUGCAAGUCGAACGGAAAGGCCCUGCUUUUGUGGGGUGCUCGAGUGGCGAACGGGUGAGUAACACGUGAGUAACCUGCCCUUGACUUUGGGAUAACUUCAGGAAACUGGGGCUAAUACCGGAUAGGAGCUCCUGCUGCAUGGUGGGGGUUGGAAAGUUUCGGCGGUUGGGGAUGGACUCGCGGCUUAUCAGCUUGUUGGUGGGGUAGUGGCUUACCAAGGCUUUGACGGGUAGCCGGCCUGAGAGGGUGACCGGCCACAUUGGGACUGAGAUACGGCCCAGACUCCUACGGGAGGCAGCAGUGGGGAAUAUUGCACAAUGGGCGGAAGCCUGAUGCAGCAACGCCGCGUGCGGGAUGACGGCCUUCGGGUUGUAAACCGCUUUCGCCUGUGACGAAGCGUGAGUGACGGUAAUGGGUAAAGAAGCACCGGCUAACUACGUGCCAGCAGCCGCGGUGAUACGUAGGGUGCGAGCGUUGUCCGGAUUUAUUGGGCGUAAAGGGCUCGUAGGUGGUUGAUCACGUCGGAAGUGUAAUCUUGGGGCUUAACCCUGAGCGUGCUUUCGAUACGGGUUGACUUGAGGAAGGUAGGGGAGAAUGGAAUUCCUGGUGGAGCGGUGGAAUGCGCAGAUAUCAGGAGGAACACCAGUGGCGAAGGCGGUUCUCUGGGCCUUUCCUGACGCUGAGGAGCGAAAGCGUGGGGAGCGAACAGGCUUAGAUACCCUGGUAGUCCACGCUGUAAACGGUGGGUACUAGGUGUGGGGUCCAUUCCACGGGUUCCGUGCCGUAGCUAACGCUUUAAGUACCCCGCCUGGGGAGUACGGCCGCAAGGCUAAAACUCAAAGGAAUUGACGGGGCCCCGCACAAGCGGCGGAGCAUGCGGAUUAAUUCGAUGCAACGCGUAGAACCUUACCUGGGUUUGACAUGGAUCGGGAGCGCUCAGAGAUGGGUGUGCCUCUUUUGGGGUCGGUUCACAGGUGGUGCAUGGCUGUCGUCAGCUCGUGUCGUGAGAUGUUGGGUUAAGUCCCGCAACGAGCGCAACCCUUGUUCACUGUUGCCAGCACGUUAUGGUGGGGACUCAGUGGAGACCGCCGGGGUCAACUCGGAGGAAGGUGGGGAUGACGUCAAGUCAUCAUGCCCCUUAUGUCCAGGGCUUCACGCAUGCUACAAUGGCUGGUACAGAGAGUGGCGAGCCUGUGAGGGUGAGCGAAUCUCGGAAAGCCGGUCUCAGUUCGGAUUGGGGUCAGCAACUCGACCUCAUGAAGUCGGAGUCGCUAGUAAUCGCAGAUCAGCAACGCUGCGGUGAAUACGUUCCCGGGGCU
This 1346-nucleotide ribosomal RNA is filed under the name uncultured bacterium. Its description in RNAcentral is "bacterial SSU rRNA". It matches the Rfam family "Bacterial small subunit ribosomal RNA", at positions 28 to 1381 of the family's 1533-position model. The record is from RNAcentral.